RNAcentral lists this ribosomal RNA (478 nucleotides) under uncultured Enterobacterales bacterium. RNAcentral's name for it is "bacterial SSU rRNA". It matches the Rfam family "Bacterial small subunit ribosomal RNA", at positions 61 to 528 of the family's 1533-position model. Lineage: Bacteria; Pseudomonadati; Pseudomonadota; Gammaproteobacteria; Enterobacterales. The record is from RNAcentral.
GUCGAACGGUAGCACAGAGGAGCUUGCUCCUUGGGUGACGAGUGGCGGACGGGUGAGUAAUGUCUGGGAAACUGCCCGAUGGAGGGGGAUAACUACUGGAAACGGUAGCUAAUACCGCAUAACGUCGCAAGACCAAAGAGGGGGACCUUCGGGCCUCUUGCCAUCGGAUGUGCCCAGAUGGGAUUAGCUAGUAGGUGGGGUAACGGCUCACCUAGGCGACGAUCCCUAGCUGGUCUGAGAGGAUGACCAGCCACACUGGAACUGAGACACGGUCCAGACUCCUACGGGAGGCAGCAGUGGGGAAUAUUGCACAAUGGGCGCAAGCCUGAUGCAGCCAUGCCGCGUGUAUGAAGAAGGCCUUCGGGUUGUAAAGUACUUUCAGCGAGGAGGAAGGCGUUGUGGUUAAUAACCGCAACGAUUGACGUUACUCGCAGAAGAAGCACCGGCUAACUCCGUGCCAGCCGCCGCGGUAAAAGGG